Molecule: ribosomal RNA, 458 nt
Filed under: Pseudarthrobacter oxydans
Lineage: Bacteria; Bacillati; Actinomycetota; Actinomycetes; Micrococcales; Micrococcaceae
Description: bacterial SSU rRNA
Rfam family: Bacterial small subunit ribosomal RNA
Source: RNAcentral
UGCAAGUCGAACGAUGAUGGCGAGCUUGCUCCUGGAUUAGUGGCGAACGGGUGAGUAACACGUGUGUAACCUGCCCUUAACUCUGGGAUAAGCCUGGGAAACUGGGUCUAAUACCGGAUAUGACUCCUCAUCGCAUGGUGGGGGGUGGAAAGCUUUAUUGUGGUUUUGAAGGGACUCCCGCCCUAUCACCUGGUGGUGAAGUAAUGGCUUACCCAGGCUACCACCGGUAGCCGGCCUGAGAAGGUGACCGGCCACACUGGGACUGAGACACCGCCCAGACUCCUACCGGAGGCAGCAGUGGGGAAUAUUGCACAAUGGGCGCAAGCCUGAUGCAGCCACCCCGCGUGAGGGAAGACGGCCUUCGGGGUUGUAAACCUCUUUUAGUAGGGAAGAAGCGAAAGUGACGGUACCUGCAGAAAAAGCCCCGGCUAACUACGUGCCAGCAGCCGCGGUAAUAC